RNAcentral lists this ribosomal RNA (485 nucleotides) under uncultured bacterium. RNAcentral describes it as "bacterial SSU rRNA". It matches the Rfam family "Bacterial small subunit ribosomal RNA", at positions 30 to 509 of the family's 1533-position model. The record is from RNAcentral.
AUUGAACGCUGGCGGCAUGCCUUACACAUGCAAGUCGAACGGCAGCGCGUCCUUCGGGAUGGCGGCGAGUGGCGAACGGGUGAGUAAAGCAUCGGAACGUGCCCGGUAGUGCGGGAUAGCUCGGCGAAAGCCGGAUUAAUACCGCAUGAGAUCUGCGGAUGAAAGCAGGGGACCCGAAAGGGCCUUGCGCUACUGGAGCGGCCGAUGUCAGAUUAGGUAGUUGGUGAGGUAAAGGCUCACCAAGCCUGCGAUCUGUAGCUGGUCUGAGAGGAUGAUCAGCCACAUCGGGACUGAGACACGGCCCGAACUCCUACGGGAGGCAGCAGUGGGGAAUUUUGGACAAUGGGCGCAAGCCUGAUCCAGCCAUGCCGCGUGCAGGAUGAAGGCCUUCGGGUUGUAAACUGCUUUUGUACGGAACGAAAGGCUCUUUCUAAUAAGGAAGUUGAUGACGGUACCGUAAGAAUAAGCACGGCUAACUACGUGCC